This 549-nucleotide ribosomal RNA is filed under the name Sphyraena sp. P2396661_E1018. RNAcentral's name for it is "partial large subunit ribosomal RNA". It matches the Rfam family "Bacterial large subunit ribosomal RNA", at positions 1910 to 2575 of the family's 2925-position model. Lineage: Eukaryota; Metazoa; Chordata; Actinopteri; Sphyraenidae. The record is from RNAcentral.
CAGUGACUAUAUGUUCAACGGCCGCGGUAUUUUGACCGUGCAAAGGUAGCGUAAUCACUUGUCUUUUAAAUGAAGACCCGUAUGAAUGGCGGAACGAGGGCUAAACUGUCUCCUUUUUCAGGUCAAUGAAAUUGAUCUCUCCGUGCAGAAGCGGAGAUAACACCAUAAGACGAGAAGACCCUGUGGAGCUUUAGGUAACAAAACAGAUCGUGCCCAGCAUACCUAAAUAAAGGACUGAGCUUAAUGAAAACUGUUUUUAUGCCUUCGGUUGGGGCGACCAUGGAGUAAUAAAAAUCCUCCAAGUGAGAGGGAGCACUUCACCCUUUUCUACCUCUACAUCCACCCUUAUCUAUCCCUCCUAAAACCAAGAGCUACGACUCUAACUAGCAGAAAUUCUGACCUAAAUUGAUCCGGCUAUGCCGAUUAACGGACCAAGUUACCCCAGGGAUAACAGCGCAAUCCUCUUCUAGAGCCCAUAUCGACAAGAGGGUUUACGACCUCGAUGUUGGAUCAGGACAUCCUAAUGGUGCAACCGCUAUUAAGGGUUCG